This is a long non-coding RNA of Megalobrama amblycephala (Wuchang bream), 551 nucleotides long. RefSeq lists it as uncharacterized. The record is from RefSeq and is a predicted model, not a curated record. The transcript is spliced from 2 exons. Lineage: Eukaryota; Metazoa; Chordata; Actinopteri; Cypriniformes; Xenocyprididae.
UUCGACAGACUGAAGAGACCCCCUGUGGGGCGGCCUUUUCAGGCCAAGGCCUGUGGGCCUGCCCUGCACCCCAGUCAUGUGUUUAACUGGGAGAGAAAAGGACUCUUUCCCACUAAGAUUCAAACUAACCAGGCAAGUUUGUCAUUGGUUCUUCAUUCAACGCAGAAGACAUUGAUUGCAACUUCAGCACUGUCGGACUGAAUUCUCAGGACUUCCUACAGCAACAUUGUAUCCAGACACUCUUCAAAAAGGCAGAGGACUAAUGCAAGAAUCUCACCGCUGUCACAGUCUCCGUCUGUCCUGGACUCCAAAGACUCCAUCUCCCAUCAUCCUCCCUGGCCCACACCUGCACUCACUUCCUCAUCACCUCCUGAUCUGCACAUCAUACACACCUGUUCCCCAUCAGCACUCAUUACUCAGGACUUAUAAGCACACCACUCACCUCCCUCAGUUGUUCAGUCACUGUUGUUUUGGAUGUGUUCGCUUACUGUCAUUUUUUGGAUGUAUAGCCUAUGUUUUGAGUUAUCAUUAAACCUUUUGAGUUCUUUGAA